GGGAAGGUGGCUUAGUGGUAGAGUGCUUGCCUGAAAUGCAUGAAGCCCUGGGUUUGGUUCCUCAGUCCCA
Non-coding RNA from Dipodomys ordii (Ord's kangaroo rat), 70 nucleotides. The record is from Rfam. Lineage: Eukaryota; Metazoa; Chordata; Mammalia; Rodentia; Heteromyidae.